GUUCCUUGUUCUACUCUUUUCCCCCUUCUCACUGCUACUCUUGACUAGUCUUAAAAAAAAAAUAUGGGUCAGGGAAAGGAUGAAUUAGUAAGAAAGUAAAAACCCAAGAAGAUAAAACACACAUGAACCAUUAUGCUCUCACAGACUUUCUGAAAAUUGAAUGAAAAUUUGACUGUAAUUUUCCUAACAACCAAAGUUGAUAGUUAAUUAAUCCUUACUAGUUUUUUAAAUAUGCAAAUAUUUCCUUUGGCAAUUUGUUUUGAAAGAAAAUUCUCAAUUGAUCAUCAUAGAGGAGACAGUGUCCUUAGCGAUAUCCCUAAAGAAAAUACCAGAAGGGGCUUAACAGGGCUGUUUCAAUGUGCUUCGAGAAAGCACGCUGAAUCAAAACAAACCUUAGGAAAAGGAAAUCUGAAGAGGGAUGGGGCAGAGCAGCGGACAAUGGGACCUGGCUGGUGAUGGACCCACAGGAUCCAGGAAUGAAACCUGGGACUAGUGAAAUGGUUGGAAUUUCUGUCCUUCCAAUAAUCAUUAGUUACCUUGCUCUUGGUGAAGCUUUUUACACAUUAGGCAGCCUGUGAUUUUUCGGAGCUUUCUUGGUGACUGCUAUGAACACCUGUCCUCUUCCAUCAGCCCACAGGUUUGUUGCUAUAAUUGCUAGAGAAUAAUUAGCUCCCCCUUCUCUGUUGCCUUCUCAGUCUUGUGGGACUUCUUUUUUCAUUGACAGAAUUUAACCCAGAAUAAUAGUUAAAAGGGGCGAUGGGAAAUGUUUUUAUGGGUGUCUCCCUUGUGAUGCUGAGAUGGCGCUGAGUGGGUAGUAGAGAUCGUCUGGCACACUGUGGUGCCUCUGGCAGUCUCCCAUAUGAGAAGCCAGCAAACAGGUAAGCAAACCCCAAAUUGCCAAACACAGGUAAUUGUAAUACUUGCUUAAAAAAAUCACCUUAAAAACAAAAUUCUGUGUAGAAAUUUGCUUUUCAAAUUCACAUAUAAGAAUUCUUAAAUGUGAAUGGAUCUGGGUGGGGCACAGUGGCUCACACUUGUAAUUUCAGCAAUCUAAGAGCCUGAGGCAGAAGGAGAGCCCAAGAGUUGGAGGAUGCCGUGAGCAACCAUCACACUAUCGUAUCACCCCAGCCUGGGUGGCAGAGAGAGAGCCCACCUCUAAAAAUAAAUAAUAAAUAAAAUGAUCUGCGUGUAGCAUACUGAUUGGAGCUGAGAGUAGAUUUUUCAAUGUUUUCACCACCAAAAUGGUAAGUACAUCAGGUGAGUGAGCUUAAUUUAAUCGUUCUACAAUGCACCCAUGAUACCAAAACGUCAUAUUGUACCUCACACAAGUGUACAAUUUUUAUUUGCCAACUAAAAAGUUUUAAAAACAGGGUAUCACUGACCACCAGAGUAUUCCCUGUUUUAAGAAUGCAAUAUGUUUGGCCCUGAUUUCUGAGAUGCUAAUAUUUUACAACAAAAUAUUAAUGGAAAUGGCUAAAUAAAAUGCUUGCGUGUACAAAGAUCUUAUCCUUGUGUAAAAGCCCGGGAAGAAAGGUAAACAGCAAGCUGAGCAUAAAGGUAUGUCAGGUGUGGGGAGUGAGCGAGACACUUGCAUAUAAUCUAUGCUAUUUGAAAAUUUUAAAAUAUAAAUUUCUAUUUAUUACUUCCUCAAUUCAAAAGUAAAAAAAAUAGGUGGUGCUAUGCCAUAAUAAUUGAUACCUCAACAUAAUAGUUUGCACAGAUUUCUCUGAUGCCAUGUUCUGGGACGGCUCCUAAAGGCUGCAGAUGGCAGGAAGCUCGAGUUCCGAGCACUGUGUGGUGCAGCACGUUGACACCUCAUGCAGUGCCCGGCUCCUAGAAGGUACCCAAGGAAUGCUGGAACUCCGUGAGACCAUGCUUUGUGGCUCUGAGAGGGACGCAUGCAAAAUAGGAAAAUAAGCAGAAGUCAAGUGGAAGGGCCUGGAAGUUCCUCACAGAUGACCAAAAUUUGAUGGACAUUUCUUCUGGGAUUCAAAGAACUAAGAUUUUUGUAUUGCUGCUGGUUUUUUUCUGUUUCUGCUACAAUGUUGAGGUUUUAUUACAUAAAAUUGUUUAAAAAUCAUUGCUAAGGAAGCAAUGUAUGUUCAUAUAGGAGUAUCUAACCUGCACCUGCAGGCCACAUGUGGAUUAUGUGAGGACUUUAUGUGAUGGUGGAUAUCAUGAAAAUUAUGCAUGGACCUUUUUGUGGCUCAUUAGCUUUUGUUAGUGCUUGUAUAUUUACUGUGUGACCCAAGACAACUCUUCUUCUUCCAAUGUGGCACAGAGAAGUCAAAAGUUUGGACACCUCUGAGGGGCAUUUCCACCUGAAGCUGCAGUGGUUUCUAUGUAUCUGACAUGUCUUCAACUUUGGAGUUUCGCCUUGUCCUACUCUGCUGUGCUGCUGUAACAAAAUGCCAUAGAUUGGGAACAGACAUUUGUUUCCCAUAGUUCUGAAGGCUGAAAGUCCAAGUUCAAGGUGCUGGCAGGACUUGGUUUCUAGUGAGAGCCUUCUUUAUGGCUUGCAGAUGGCUACUUUUUUGAUGUGUCCUCAUGGUGGAGAGGCGAGGUCUCUGGUCGCUCCCUCUUCUUAUAAGGGCACCAAGCCCAGUGUGGGGACUCCAACCUUAGGACCAUAUCUAAAUCUAAUUACCUCUCAAAGGCUCCACAUCCAUUCCAUCUCUUGGGGGCAGGAUUUCAACAAAUGAAUUUGGGGAUGGUGCAAACAUUUAAUUCAUAGUACACUUCUUGCUCCGGCAUGUGGGUUCUUUCUGUUUCUUUACUGGACAUAAAGCAAAACAACCGGAAUAAGAUUUCGAUUGUUGUUUCCAGGAGUAAAGGCUCUUUUUGUAAAGGGUCAUGAUAUUCUUAAAAAUUUUCCCUCAAGUGAAAGCUAUAAAAUUGUGACUAAAAUCCAGUAUCCAGAGAGGUCUAUGUUAAGAAUGGCUCAAAAUUAAAUGAAUUGGGGGAAUACCCUGAAUACCAUAUUUGCAGAAGUAACAUUUUUAAACUAUGUCAGGCUGGGAGGAUUUUACCGUUUACUUUUGGUAUAAACAGAUUUUAUCCGGCACUUACCAACAACUUGACCUACAUUUCACAUCGUACAACACAAAAUUUUAGUGAAAAAUAGAAACCAAGAUUUAAAGCCAGAAUUAUUUAAGAGAGGGAGUGUUUAUAGGUACUCUUCUUGUAUUUACUGUCUUAAAAUGGAUGUAGUACCAACGAAGGGUCUAGGAUUUUA
This is a long non-coding RNA of Nycticebus coucang (slow loris), 3235 nucleotides long. RefSeq lists it as uncharacterized. Lineage: Eukaryota; Metazoa; Chordata; Mammalia; Primates; Lorisidae. The record is from RefSeq and is a predicted model, not a curated record. The transcript is spliced from 3 exons.